UACGAAGGGGGCUAGCGUUGUUCGGAUUUACUGGGCGUAAAGCGCACGCAGGCGGUCUUUUUAGUCAGAAGUGAAAGUCCUGGGCUCAACCUGGGGAUUGCUUUUGAUACUGGAAGACUAGGGUUCGCGAGAGGAUGGCGGAAUUCCCAGUGUAGAGGUGAAAUUCGUAGAUAUUGGGAAGAACACCGGUGGCGAAGGCGGCCAUCUGGCGCGAUACCGACGCUCAUGUGCGAAAGCGUGGGGAGCAAACAGGAUUAGAUACCCUGGUAGUCCACGCUGUAAACGAUGGAUGCUAGAUGUUGGGGCGCUUGCGUCUCAGUGUCGCAGCUAACGCGUUAAGCAUCCCGCCUGGGGAGUACGGCCGCAAGGUUAAA
This 374-nucleotide ribosomal RNA is filed under the name uncultured bacterium. Its description in RNAcentral is "bacterial SSU rRNA". It matches the Rfam family "Bacterial small subunit ribosomal RNA", at positions 524 to 898 of the family's 1533-position model. The record is from RNAcentral.